RNAcentral lists this ribosomal RNA (536 nucleotides) under uncultured bacterium. RNAcentral describes it as "bacterial SSU rRNA". It matches the Rfam family "Bacterial small subunit ribosomal RNA", at positions 355 to 895 of the family's 1533-position model. The record is from RNAcentral.
UGAGGAAUAUUGGUCAAUGGACGGAAGUCUGAACCAGCCAAGUAGCGUGCAGGAUGACGGCCCUAUGGGUUGUAAACUGCUUUUGUAUGGGGAUAAAGUUAGGGACGUGUCCCUAUUUGCAGGUACCAUACGAAUAAGGACCGGCUAAUUCCGUGCCAGCAGCCGCGGUAAUACGGAAGGUCCAGGCGUUAUCCGGAUUUAUUGGGUUUAAAGGGAGCGUAGGCUGGAGAUUAAGUGUGUUGUGAAAUGUAGACGCUCAGCGUCUGAAUUGCAGCGCAUACUGGUUUCCUUGAGUACGCACAACGUUGGCGGAAUUCGUCGUGUAGCGGUGAAAUGCUUAGAUAUGACGAAGAACUCCGAUUGCGAAGGCAGCUGACGGGAGCGCAACUGACGCUUAAGCUCGAAGGUGCGGGUAUCAAACAGGAUUAGAUACCCUGGUAGUCCGCACAGUAAACGAUGGAUGCCCGCUGUUGGUACCUGGUAUCAGCGGCUAAGCGAAAGCAUUAAGCAUCCCACCUGGGGAGUACGCCGGCGGU